RNA transcript from Pomacea canaliculata, 843 nucleotides. It is a transcript of the gene named metallocarboxypeptidase inhibitor b-like, with no coding region annotated. The record is from RefSeq and is a predicted model, not a curated record. The transcript has 4 exons. Lineage: Eukaryota; Metazoa; Mollusca; Gastropoda; Architaenioglossa; Ampullariidae.
UAAAACAAUAACUCGCGCACCCCCAUCGGCACGGACACUGGCUCUGUCAACUUUCAUCGUCUAUAUUUUUUUCAGGUGUCGUUUGCUGGAUCCCUGGUAGUGACACUACCCGACUGACUAAUGAGCUCACUUCUCAGGCUUCCUUCAUAUAAAGAUCCCUUGCAGCAGGAACACUGACCUGUGUCCUUGCGGAGAGCACGAGCGGUUUAUUGAGGAUCGUCUGCUUGAUUUUUUGUUGGCUGCCUUUCCAUUCACCAACUUCCUGCUCCUCCUUCGUCUUUCUACACCGACAGGAGCUGUCAGUUUUAAGUGGUUGUAACAAGACCUUGUCCAGCACUCAUUAGAGUUGAGACAACAAACGACUUGCCGUGGUCCUGGGAAUCUGAACCAUGAAGCUGUGCAUUGUAAUGUUGCUGUGCUUGGGUGCCGCCUAUCUUAGUGUGGCACAGCUGAACAACUACUGGGUGGUGGGUCCGUGCCCCGACGAUGAGGUUAAGAGGGGCUGCCCACUGAGCCCCAACGCUAAGUGCAGUUUUAUUUGCUGGAACGUGACAGACAGCACAAACCCCGUUGAAUGCAUGUUCCAGCACUUUCUAAACGGAGAAAGGGUUGGCUGCUGGGCGAAAUAAGUGCAGUGUGGCCGGCCUGUCUUCGAGGAUCAAUCUUCAUAAAGUUCUUCGUGAACAUGCUACGGUCAGCCAUUUAAAAAAAAAAAAACGGCUGUCUUUUGGUUGCAUUUUCUGGACUUGUCACUUUUUAAAGUCCAUAAUGUUUUGUUCUUUUUCUUUUAACAUAUGUAAUCAUUAAGUGUUCAGUAAAUUCGUGAAGUUCAUUGAGACAAAA